GCAAGCCUUAACAGAGUAGAACAGCUACCUUGACACGGUAGGGGUCACAGGUUCGAACCCUGUAUCGCGCACCA
This 74-nucleotide transfer RNA is filed under the name Chthoniobacterales bacterium. RNAcentral describes it as "tRNA-Ser". The record is from RNAcentral. Lineage: Bacteria; Pseudomonadati; Verrucomicrobiota; Spartobacteria; Chthoniobacterales.